This 200-nucleotide ribosomal RNA is filed under the name uncultured bacterium. RNAcentral's name for it is "partial 16S ribosomal RNA". It matches the Rfam family "Bacterial small subunit ribosomal RNA", at positions 8 to 204 of the family's 1533-position model. The record is from RNAcentral.
AGAGUUUGAUCCUGGCUCAGGACGAACGCUGGCGGCGUGCCUAAUACAUGCAAGUCGAGCGGAUCAUUGGGAGCUUGCUCCUAAUGGUCAGCGGCGGACGGGUGAGUAACACGUGGGCAACCUGCCUGUAAGACUGGGAUAACUUCGGGAAACCGGAGCUAAUACCGGAUCAAUCUUUUCAACACAUGUUGGAAAGCUGA